UUUUUAGAGAGUUUGAUCCUGGCUCAGGGUGAACGCUGGCGGCGCGCUUAAUGCAUGCAAGUCGAGCGUNCCNCGNCGGCUUCGGCNNNNNNGGNAAGCGGCAGACGGCUGAGUAACGCGUGAGUAANCUNCCCUUCGGUGGGGUACAGCCCCGAGAAAUCGAGGUUAAUCCCGCAUACGAUCCCUUGNCCCUGGUUGNGGGAUGAAAGCCUNCGGGCGCCGNAGGAGGAGNUCGCGUCCUAUCAGGUAGUUGGUGGGGUAAUGGCCUACCAAGCCGAUGACGGGUAGCUGGUCUGAGAGGACGACCAGCCAGAGGGGGACUGAGACACGGCCCCCACUCCUACGGGAGGCAGCAGCAGGGAAU
RNAcentral lists this ribosomal RNA (364 nucleotides) under SAR202 cluster bacterium. RNAcentral's name for it is "partial 16S ribosomal RNA". It matches the Rfam family "Bacterial small subunit ribosomal RNA", at positions 1 to 362 of the family's 1533-position model. The record is from RNAcentral. Lineage: Bacteria; Bacillati; Chloroflexota; Dehalococcoidia.